AGUUCGAUUAUGGCUCAGAUUGAACACUGGCGGGAUGCUUUACAUGCAAGUCAGACAGCGGCACGGACUUCGGUCUGGUGGCGAGUGAACAGGUGAGUAAUGUAUCGGAACGUGCCUAGUAGCGGGGGAUAACUACGCGAAAGCGUAGCUAAUACCACAUACGCCCUUCGGGGAAAGCGGGGACCUUCAGACUCGCACUAUUAGAGCGGCCGAUAUGGAUUAAGCUAGUUGGUGGGGUAGCGGCUCACCCAAAGGCGACGAUCAAUAGCUGGUUUUGAGAGGACGACCAGCCACACUGGGACUGAACAGCCCAGGCUCCUACAGGAGGCAGCAGUGGGGAAUUUUGGACAAUGGAAACCCUGAUCCAGCCAUCCGCGGCAGCGAUGAAGAUUAUGGUUGUAGCCGAAAACACUUUUGGCAGGAAGCGUGGCACGGGAUAAUACCCCGUGCAACUGACGGUACCUGCAGAAUAAGCACCGGCUAACUACGUGCCAGCAGCCGCGGUAUGCAUGGGGUGCAAGCGUUAAUCCAGAUUACUGGGCGUAAAGCGUGCGCAGGCGGUUCCGGAAAGAAAGAUGUGAAAUCCCAGAGCUUAACUUUGGAACUGCAUUUUUAACUACCGAGCUAGAGUGUCAGAGGGAGGUGGAAUUCCGUAUGUAGCAGUGAAAUGCGUAGAUAUGCGGAGGAACACCGUGGCGAAGAGCCAUCCUGGGAUGCUGCCGGCAGCUCACGAAAGCGUGGGGAGCAAACAGGAUUUAGAUACCCAGUCCACGCCCUAAACGAUGUCAAUGGCUGUUGGGGCCUUCGGGCCUUGGUAGCGCAACUAACGCGUGAAGUUGUGACCGCCUGGGAAUACGGUCGCAAGAAUAAAACUCAAAGGAAUUGACGGGGACCCGCACAAGCGGUGGAUAAUAGUUAAUUCGAUGCAACGCAGAAAACCGCCACUACCCUUGACAUGUCUGGAAUCCCGAAGAGAUUUGGGAGUGCUCGCAAAGGGCCGGAACACAGGUGCUGCAUGGCUGUCGUCAGCUCGUGUCGUGAGAUGUUGGGUUAAGUCCGCAACGAGCGCAACCCUUGUCAUUAGUUGCUACGAAAGGGCACUCUAAUAAGACUGCCGGUGACAAACCGGAGGAAGGUGGGGAUGACGUCAAGUCCUCAUGGCCCUUAUGGGUAGGGCUUCACGUCAUGCUGGUCGAGACAGAGGUCGCCAGCCCGCGAGGGAGCAAUGCAGAAACCCGAUCGUAGUCCGGAUCACUGAUCUGCAGCUCGACUGCGUGAAGUCGGAAUCGCCUAAUAAUCGCGGAUCAGCAUAAUAGCGGUGAAUACGUUCCCGGGUCUUGUACACACCGCCCGUCACACCAUGGGGGUGGGUUUUACCAGAAGUAGUUAGCCUAACCGUAAGGAGGGCGUUACCACGGUAGAUUCAUGACUGGGGUGAAGUCGUAAUGGGUAG
This 1453-nucleotide ribosomal RNA is filed under the name uncultured Bordetella sp. RNAcentral describes it as "partial 16S-23S ribosomal RNA intergenic spacer". It matches the Rfam family "Bacterial small subunit ribosomal RNA". Lineage: Bacteria; Pseudomonadati; Pseudomonadota; Betaproteobacteria; Burkholderiales; Alcaligenaceae. The record is from RNAcentral.